RNAcentral lists this transfer RNA (64 nucleotides) under Neoamphitrite affinis. RNAcentral describes it as "tRNA-Thr". Lineage: Eukaryota; Metazoa; Annelida; Polychaeta; Terebellida; Terebellidae. The record is from RNAcentral.
ACUAAAAAAGCCAAAAUUAGAGGCAUUGAUUUUGUAAAUCAAAGAAUGGUUUUACCUUUUAGUA